RNAcentral lists this ribosomal RNA (718 nucleotides) under Leioproctus launcestonensis. RNAcentral's name for it is "eukaryotic LSU rRNA". It matches the Rfam family "Eukaryotic large subunit ribosomal RNA", at positions 366 to 810 of the family's 3401-position model. Lineage: Eukaryota; Metazoa; Arthropoda; Insecta; Hymenoptera; Colletidae. The record is from RNAcentral.
GAAAAGAACUUUGAAGAGAGAGUUCAAGAGUACGUGAAACCGUUCAGGGGUAAACCUGAGAAACCCAAAAGAUCGAAUGGGGAGAUUCAUCGUCGACGAAGCUGGCUCCCGUUGGUGCGCGAUACCCCGAAUGGGCCUUAACCGUUCCAAGGCGAGGGUACACCACCUGCGGCGAACGAUCCGGCGACGUAGUCGUGCACUUCUCCCUUAGUAGAACGUCGCGACCCGUUGUGUGUCGGUCUACGGCCUGGGCUAAUUGCCUGUCGCGGCGCCUUCGUACGCUCGCGGCAGAGGCUCGGUCGCCUGGCCGGCUGCACGACGGUACUCUGACGGUAUCGGGCCGCAACCAAUCCAUUCUCGAAUGUGUGUGCGUCGGACCCGUCGCAAGCUCGGACAGAUUUACUCGGAGUGUGCGGACCUAGUGCCCUCACCGGGUCUGGCCAGCUGUUGGCAGACGGUGUUCUUGGACUGGCCAAGCUUUGAAUUACCGGUCGGCGACGCUACUGCUUUGGGUACUCUCAGGACCCGUCUUGAAACACGGACCAAGGAGUCUAACAUGUGCGCGAGUCAUUGGGACAUGUAAACCUAAAGGCGCAAUGAAAGUGAAGGUCGGCCUCGGCGUCGACCAAGGGAGGAUGGGCCGCUUACGUCCCGGCCCCGCACUCCCGGGGCGUCUCGUUCUCAUUGCGAGAAGAGGCGCACCCAGAGCGUACACGUU